RNAcentral lists this ribosomal RNA (301 nucleotides) under uncultured bacterium. Its description in RNAcentral is "partial 16S ribosomal RNA". It matches the Rfam family "Bacterial small subunit ribosomal RNA", at positions 509 to 809 of the family's 1533-position model. The record is from RNAcentral.
CAGCAGCCACGGUAAUACAGAGGGUGCGAGCGUUAAUCGGAUUUACUGGGCGUAAAGCGUGCGUAGGCGGCUUUUUAAGUCGGAUGUGAAAUCCCUGAGCUUAACUUAGGAAUUGCAUUCGAUACUGGGAAGCUAGAGUAUGGGAGAGGAUGGUAGAAUUCUAGGUGUAGCGGUGAAAUGCGUAGAGAUCUGGAGGAAUACCGAUGGCGAAGGCAGCCAUCUGGCCUAAUACUGACGCUGAGGUACGAAAGCAUGGGGAGCAAACAGGAUUAGAUACCCCCGUAGUCCCUGUCUCUUAUAA